Molecule: long non-coding RNA, 1412 nt
Organism: Gallus gallus (chicken)
Lineage: Eukaryota; Metazoa; Chordata; Aves; Galliformes; Phasianidae
Exons: 3
Source: RefSeq, a predicted model, not a curated record
CCCCACAGAGCCCGGCGCAGCCUGACAGCCGUGCGGGGCGCUGUGUGGGUGUAGGCAGUGCUUUGAGGUGCUGCGUGGUGACUUUGGCAAUUAAUAACGCUAAAUAAAGACAAACGCUGGACACAGUGCCCAUCCAGCUACGGCGUCCUACCGCCUCGUCACCACAACACGGCGGUUCUCGGGUGCCUCCACGCUCAGGCAGGGAAAAGGGCAGCAGAAAUCUGUGAGGCAGCUUUUAUCUAAAGUCGAAGCACAGAGCAACCUCCUGGAGUCAGCGUGAACGGAGGAGACGCGGAUUUAACGUGGAUUGGGGCUGACAGGCAGCCAAACCUGGGCGAGGGCACUGCCGUAAGGGCUCCUGCCAAGCAGCCAGCAGUGGCAGUCAGUGCGGGGUCUUCGCGUUCACUCCUGUGAGAGGCACCGCACAAGGAAGGAUAUUCAACAUGUUUUAUAUAAAGACCACAUCAGAACAAACAAAUAUCCAUCGGUUAUGACCUAAGCGUUCAAAACCGACAUUCUUAUUUUGCCAUUCCCCGCGGCCGUCUGUUGGAAACUCAUUUAUCAGCUGUGAUUCGUUUGAUUUCUCAACCUCACAGUUUUCCACCAGACUCAGAUCCACACCAGGUUUUAUAACGAGAAAAAAAAAUUAAUCAACACGAAAGCACAACAAAUGCACACCACUUCAUUCUGCGCAGUGCUUUCAUGUUCCAUUCAGAACUUCUGCGAGCAGAGAUCUCCAGUUCAUUGAAUUCCUUAGAACUAAAUCACAACGCAGCUGUAAGGGACUGCUGCACCUCACAGAGUUAACAGAAAAUCUUUGGAGUGUUUUGUCUGCUAAGUUCAAAGAGAUCAGGGCAAGAGACACACGACUUCACCGCUGAUUUAUCUUGGGUCAGUGGGAAUAAUAUUCAUCCCUAAUAUCCAUCCUAACAGCACACGGCUGUGUAUCAUCUCAGGAAACAGAUACAGGAAGUACAAACCCUGAGGUGUUAAGCUUCUACAAAGUGCUUGUUUUAAUUUUCCAAAGAAUGAACAAACAACGACAACAGAAGAGAUAAUGCACAUGGUCCUCUACAACUGUAAAGUUUCAGACCGUCAGGGAUGCUGACAAAAUCUUUUUUGCUCUCAGAAGAAUAUUUAAUAUUUAAUAUGAAACAUGAAUAUUUAAUAUUCCAAGCCAACAACUGAAGGAGCAAUAAAUAGCUAUGUGAUCUGUCCAGAAUUCAAGAAUCUACCUUGACAAACAGCAUGUGUUUGAAGCAUUCCUCUCUCUUCAUACAGUAUCAUUCUGAUGUGCUUCUGCUGAUAAGCCUCCCUGUCUGUCUGAGACAAAAGCUGCUUUUGAAGCACCUGUUACCACACUGUAGCCACAAUGUUUGUAGUCACAAGAGAAAUAAAAAGUUUGCUUCCCA